RNAcentral lists this ribosomal RNA (484 nucleotides) under uncultured bacterium. Its description in RNAcentral is "partial 16S ribosomal RNA". It matches the Rfam family "Bacterial small subunit ribosomal RNA", at positions 30 to 507 of the family's 1533-position model. The record is from RNAcentral.
AUUGAACGCUGGCGGCAGGCCUAACACAUGCAAGUCGAGCGGAUGAAGGGAGCUUGCUCCUGGAUUCAGCGGCGGACGGGUGAGUAAUGCCUAGGAAUCUGCCUGGCAGUGGGGGAUAACGUCCGGAAACGGGCGCUAAUACCGCAUACGUCCUGAGGGAGAAAGUGGGGGAUCUUCGGACCUCACGCUCUCAGAUGAGCCUAGGUCGGAUUAGCUAGUUGGUGGGGUAAAGGCCUACCAAGGCGACGAUCCGUAACUGGCCUGAGAGGAUGAUCAGUCACCCUGGAACUGAGACACGGUCCAGACCACUACGGGAGGCAGCAGUCGGGAAGAUUUGAACAUGGGCUAAAGCCUGAUACAGCCAUGCCGCGUGUGUGAAGAAGGUCUUCGGCUUGUUAAGCACUUUAAGUUGGGAGGAAGGGCAGUAAGUUAAUACCUUGCGGUUUUGAGGUUACCCACAGAAUAGGCACCGGCUAACUACGUG